CAGACUUUAGUACAAGUCAUAAUUGUUGCAUAAAUUUGUCUAGCCUGAUAUUACAGCGGAAAAUUAUAUCUAUGAAAGCUCACAUUCAUAAUUAUUACCUGGAAAGUGUCACUUGAAAAAAUGUUGUACUUUUACCUCCUACGACUUCAACAGCUUCUGAUCAAUUCCAACACAGGCACUCGCUUUUAUAAUCCUGUACCGCGCAGUAAAUCUGGAGGCUCUGGGAACGAAGAUGACGUAAUACAUAUCAAACGCAGGAAGUCGUUCAGUACACGUGCAGACUUGUUUUUCCAGGAAAUACGCAGCGGUGUUUCAGCUCGGUUCGGAAGGUUUUGUUGUGCAUAUAAGAAAGGAAUUAGGAGUACUUAGCUCAUUAACAUUAGGUUCGGCACAUGAAAAGUUCAACGUUUGACCCUGGCCUUAGUUUGAUAUACUGAAAAAGUCAGAUCGAAGAAAGACUAUAGUACUGCAUUACUGCAUGUAAAGCAACCUAAAUUUUUCCACAAAAUUUUUCAUUAGAAACAGGAUGUCAAUUUUGCUGUCAUAUUUGCAUUUUCAAUGUUCCUUCAGCAGUUAAUUAUGGAUAAUUAUAUAUGUCACCCUGGAUGUCAACACAGAUUCAAUCAUAGCAAUUAGCGGUAUAAGAUAUCCAUUUACUCAAUCUUAACCAAUCAUAUUUCGUUACUUCUUUCUUCCUUCAGCAACUUCUAUUGUGAUAAAAUUUAAUAGCGAGGGGGGGGGGGGGGUCCCGUUUUGACAUACAAAACAUUUUGAAGUAAAAAAGAGCUUGGAUUAACAAAAAUGUCGAGAAAGACGUGUUCAGAUUCUGACGUGCCGUUGACCUGUACAUACAUCCAUCUUUAGUUGAAGUCAGAAGAAAAUUAAUUUAUAUUCGAGAAAUUUGGUAACAAAAGAAUAAGUCAAGUGUAAUUGCUUGUAUUCUGUUGGUGUUCGUUGGUUUGGAUUUUGUCGUUGGUUCCCUGCAAUGUAUAAGUGGCAGCAGUGUUUUAUUAUUACAAAUCUCUUUCUCUCCCUUUUACAUGUUGCAGACACUGAGGACAUUUUAUGAGAAAUAUUUUUCAGGUAGUUCAGACACAUAACCACGGCAAAAUACUAUACCAAUACUGGACCACCACGUUUGACAUCUCUAGUUUCCCUUUCAAAUUGUUGGGCCGGGUGGGGGCUGCGAGCAGGCUAGUUUCAAGUAGUUCAGACACAAACCACGACAGUCGAC
This is a non-coding RNA of Paramuricea clavata, 1234 nucleotides long. The record is from the annotation of a GenBank genome assembly. NCBI's taxonomy places the organism in Eukaryota, Metazoa, Cnidaria, Anthozoa, Malacalcyonacea, Plexauridae.